Molecule: transfer RNA, 57 nt
Filed under: Diaphorina citri (Asian citrus psyllid)
Lineage: Eukaryota; Metazoa; Arthropoda; Insecta; Hemiptera; Psyllidae
Rfam family: tRNA
About the family: Transfer RNA (tRNA) molecules are approximately 80 nucleotides in length. Their secondary structure includes four short double-helical elements and three loops (D, anti-codon, and T loops).
Source: Rfam by way of RNAcentral
UGGCGUAGUGGUCACUGCGCUCGCCUUGCAUGCGGGAGACCCGGGUUCGAUUCCCGG